This 153-nucleotide ribosomal RNA is filed under the name uncultured Methanoculleus sp. RNAcentral describes it as "partial 16S ribosomal RNA". It matches the Rfam family "Archaeal small subunit ribosomal RNA", at positions 319 to 477 of the family's 1478-position model. Lineage: Archaea; Methanobacteriati; Methanobacteriota; Methanomicrobia; Methanomicrobiales; Methanomicrobiaceae. The record is from RNAcentral.
UCCCUACGGGGUGCAGCAGGCGCGAAAACUUUACAAUGCGGGCAACCGUGAUAAGGGAACCUCGAGUGCCUGUAUAUGCAGGCUGUCCAGGUGUCUAAAACACACCUGAAGAAAGGGCCGGGCAAGACCGGUGCCAGCCGCCGCGGUAAUACA